UAGCUCAAUUGGUAGAGCAUUGUGCAAAAGCACAAAAGAUGUGGGUUCGAAUCCCACGUGGGUUUGUUUACUUUUGAGUUUUCUUUAUUUACUUUUGAGUCUAUAUUGUUUACUUUUUGAGUUUAUAUUGUUUAUUUCUUAGAUUUUAAUUGAAAAACCUUUACUUUAACCUAUAUACUCCAAUAAUCGGAGUUUUCUAGUUUUAUACUCCCUCCGUUCCUAAAUAAGUGUCACAUUUCCUUUUUUGGUGUUCCCUUAUAAGUGUCACAUUUCUAUUUUUGAACAUAUACUUUUCCCACUUUUUCAUACAAUUUUCACACUUUUCCAUACACUUUUCCCACUUUUCUAUAAAUCAUAAUUACUUUUACUUGCACAUUCUACACUUUUCCACUUUUCAAUCCCCACAUCCACUUUUAUUUGUACUUUAUUCAAUUAAACAAUUAUCUACUUUAUCCUUUCCCCAAAAAAAACAUUCCUAAUCAUUAACUCUUACACACUUUACAAUUUUAUUAAUUACCGCGCCGGAGCCCAAAUGUGACACUUAUUUAGGAACGGAGGGAGUAUUAUUUUUAUUUACUUUUUGUAUUGUUUUUAUUUACUUUUAAUUUGUUCUUGUUUAGUUAAAUUGCAUUCUUCCUGAUGGUUAAAUUGCGUUGUCAUCCUUAAGUAACAUCCAAAGUCGAUUUCGAAUCCCAUGUAGGUCAGUAUAGGGUGAUAUGCUGCCAAUUGCAUGUCAGUUGAGGCUAGCUUCAGAAACCGUUAAGCAGCUGUCUCGGGCCUCUCUGCAGUCUAACACCUUGACCGUAUGUCUGGUGCCAAAGGCGCUUCCCUGUUCUUUCGAUCUCACCCUCUUGACUCUUGAGGAUGACUUCAUGAUAGAGGACGACUAUCAUGAAAUCGAUCAUGCUUCUGAUUUCUAAAAAUGGUCCUGGAUCUGAGAAAAACCAGAAUCACGCUAAGGUAAAUAAGAAGCAAAGUCCAAAAGUGGUAAAAAAAAAAUGGUUGACAUUGUUGAUAAAAUAGUUGAGGCAUUCUGUAAAAUAAAUAGCAUUUACUUUCGAACUAUUUUGAUUUACUUUUUUGGGCUUUUGCUUUACUUUUGUUGACUCUAUUUAAAAACACUAGCCUAAUAGCUCAACCGGCAGAGCAUUGGGCAAAUGCACAAAAAGAUGUGGGUUCGAAUCCACGUAAGUUAAUCUUUACUUUUUGUAUUGUUUGUUUAUUUUUAGUUUGAAAACCUUCACUUUGGCCUCAAUGUACUUCUGUACUCGGAGUUUCUAUGUUGUACAAACACUUUUGAGUUAUUUUUAUAAUUUACUUUUGAGAUUUUAUAAUUUA
Long non-coding RNA from Spinacia oleracea (spinach), 1338 nucleotides. RefSeq lists it as uncharacterized. Lineage: Eukaryota; Viridiplantae; Streptophyta; Magnoliopsida; Caryophyllales; Amaranthaceae. The record is from RefSeq and is a predicted model, not a curated record. The transcript has 2 exons.